UUUCCGUAGGUGAACCUGCGGAAGGAUCAUUCAUAAUAAAGUGUUUUAUGGCACUUUUUAAAAAUUCAUAUCCACCUUGUGUGCAAUGUUAGAUCUCGUCAAUCUUGGCGAGAUUUUUAUACAUCAACUCAUUCUUUAACUAAUUUGUCUGAAAAAUAUUAUGAAUACUUAAUUCAAAAUACAACUUUCAACAACGGAUCUCUUGGCUCUC
This 211-nucleotide unclassified non-coding RNA is filed under the name plant metagenome. Its description in RNAcentral is "partial contains small subunit ribosomal RNA, internal transcribed spacer 1, and 5.8S ribosomal RNA". The record is from RNAcentral.